GAUGGAGGGGGAUAACUACUGGAAACGGUAGCUAAUACCGCAUAACNUCNGACCAAAGAGGGGGACCUUAGGGCCUCUCGCCAUCGGAUGUGCCCAGAUGGGAUUAGCUAGUAGGUGAGGUAAUGGCUCACCUAGGCGACGAUCCCUAGCUGGUCUGAGAGGAUGACCAGCCACACUGGAACUGAGACACGGUCCAGACUCCUACGGGAGGCAGCAGUGGGGAAUAUUGCACAAUGGGCGCAAGCCUGAUGCAGCCAUGCCGCGUGUGUGAAGAAGGCCUUCGGGUUGUAAAGCACUUUCGGCGAGGAGGAAGGGKGUAMGGUUAAUAACKUUACCGAUUGACGUUACUCGGAGAAGAAGCACCGGCUAACUCCGUGCCAGCAGCCGCGGUAAUACGGAGGGGGCAAGCGUUAAUCGGAAUGAUUGGGCGUAAAGCGCACGCAGGCGGUCUGUUAAGUUGGAUGUGAAAUCCCCGGGCUCAACCUGGGAACUGCAUUCGAAACUGACAGGCUAGAGUCUUGUAGAGGGGGGUAGAAUUCCAGGUGUAGCGGUGAAAUGCGUAGAGAUCUGGAGGAAUACCGGUGGCGAAGGCGGCCCCCUGGACAAAAACUGACGCUCAGGUGCGAAAGCGUGGGGAGCAAACAGGAUUAGAUACCCUGGUAGUCCACGCUGUAAACGAUGUCGAUUUGGAGGUUGUGCCCUUGAGGCGUGGCUUCCGGAGCUAACGCGUUAAAUCGACCGCCUGGGGAGUACGGCCGCAAGGUUAAAACUCAAAUGAAUUGACGGGGGCCCGCACAAGCGGUGGAGCAUGUGGUUUAAUUCGAUGCAACGCGAAGAACCUUACCUACUCUUG
This 853-nucleotide ribosomal RNA is filed under the name Pectobacterium carotovorum. Its description in RNAcentral is "bacterial SSU rRNA". It matches the Rfam family "Bacterial small subunit ribosomal RNA", at positions 132 to 983 of the family's 1533-position model. The record is from RNAcentral. Lineage: Bacteria; Pseudomonadati; Pseudomonadota; Gammaproteobacteria; Enterobacterales; Pectobacteriaceae.